Molecule: ribosomal RNA, 503 nt
Filed under: uncultured bacterium
Lineage: Bacteria
Description: partial 16S ribosomal RNA
Rfam family: Bacterial small subunit ribosomal RNA
Source: RNAcentral
AUUGAACGCUGGCGGCAGGCUCAACACAUGCAAGUCGAGCGGGGUGAUGGUGCUUGCACUAUCACUUAGCGGCGGACGGGUGAGUAAUGCUUAGGAAUCUGCCUAUUAGUGGGGGACAACAUCUCGAAAGGGAUGCUAAUACCGCAUACGUCCUACGGGAGAAAGCAGGGGAUCACUUGUGACCUUGCGCUAAUAGAUGAGCCUAAGUCGGAUUAGCUAGUUGGUGCGGUAAAGGCCUACCAAGGCGACGAUCUGUAGCGGGUCUGAGAGGAUGAUCCGCCACACUGGGACUGGGACACGGCCCAGACUCCUACGGGAGGCAGCAGUGGGGAAUAUUGGACAAUGGGGGGAACCCUGAUCCAGCCAUGCCGCGUGUGUGAAGAAGGCCUUAUGGUUGUAAAGCACUUUAAGCGAGGAGGAGGCUCUUUUGGUUAAUACCCAAGAUGAGUGGACGUUACUCGCAGAAUAAGCACCGGCUAACUCUGUGCCAGCCGCCGCCGUAA